This 490-nucleotide ribosomal RNA is filed under the name uncultured bacterium. RNAcentral describes it as "partial 16S ribosomal RNA". It matches the Rfam family "Bacterial small subunit ribosomal RNA", at positions 30 to 507 of the family's 1533-position model. The record is from RNAcentral.
AUUGAACGCUGGCGGCAGGCCUAACACAUGCAAGUCGAACGGUAACAGGAAGCAGCUUGCUGCUUCGCUGACGAGUGGCGGACGGGUGAGUAAUGUCUGGGAAACUGCCUGAUGGAGGGGGAUAACUACUGGAAACGGUAGCUAAUACCGCAUAACGUCGCAAGACCAAAGAGGGGGACCUUCGGGCCUCUUGCCAUCGGAUGUGCCCAGAUGGGAUUAGCUAGUAGGUGGGGUAACGGCUCACCUAGGCGACGAUCCCUAGCUGGUCUGAGAGGAUGACCAGCCACACUGGAACUGAGACACGGUCCAGACUCCUACGGGAGGCAGCAGUGGGGAAUAUUGCACAAUAGGCGCAAGCCUGAUGCAGCCAUGCCGCGUGUAUGAAGAAGGCCUUCGGGUUGUAAACUACUUUCAGCGGGGAGGAAGGGAGUAAAGUUAAUACCUUUGCUCAUUGACGUUACCCGCAGAAGAAGCACCGGCUAACUCCGUG